RNAcentral lists this ribosomal RNA (483 nucleotides) under uncultured bacterium. Its description in RNAcentral is "partial 16S ribosomal RNA". It matches the Rfam family "Bacterial small subunit ribosomal RNA", at positions 28 to 522 of the family's 1533-position model. The record is from RNAcentral.
GACGAACGCUGGCGGCGUGCUUAACACAUGCAAGUCGAACGAUGAAGCCGGAGCUUGCUCUGGUGAAUUAGUGGCGAACGGGUGAGUAACACGUGAGUAACCUGCCCUUGACUCUGGGAUAACUGCUAGAAAUGGUAGCUAAUACCGGAUACGACCCUCGGCGGCAUCGCCAGGGGGUGGAAAGAAUUUCGGUCAAGGAUGGACUCGCGGCCUAUCAGCUAGUUGGUGAGGUAACGGCUCACCAAGGCGACGACGGGUAGCCGGCCUGAGAGGGUGACCGGCCACACUGGGACUGAGACACGGCCCAGACUCCUACGGGAGGCAGCAGUGGGGAAUAUUGCACAAUGGGCGCAAGCCUGAUGCAGCAACGCCGCGUGAGGGAUGACGGCCUUCGGGUUGUAAACCUCUUUUAGUAGGGAAGAAGCGAAAGUGACGGUACCUGCAGAAAAAGCACCGGCUAACUACGUGCCAGCCGCCGCCGUA